Molecule: ribosomal RNA, 1057 nt
Filed under: marine metagenome
Description: bacterial SSU rRNA
Rfam family: Bacterial small subunit ribosomal RNA
Source: RNAcentral
CUUUCGUCGGGGAAGAAAUGACUGUACCCGAAUAAGAAGGUCCGGCUAACUUCGUGCCAGCAGCCGCGGUAAUACGAAGGGACCUAGCGUAGUUCGGAAUUACUGGGCUUAAAGAGUUCGUAGGUGGUUGAAAAAGUUGGUGGUGAAAUCCCAGAGCUUAACUCUGGAACUGCCAUCAAAACUUUUCAGCUAGAGUAUGAUAGAGGAAAGCAGAAUUUCUAGUGUAGAGGUGAAAUUCGUAGAUAUUAGAAAGAAUACCAAUUGCGAAGGCAGCUUUCUGGAUCAUUACUGACACUGAGGAACGAAAGCAUGGGUAGCGAAGAGGAUUAGAUACCCUCGUAGUCCAUGCCGUAAACGAUGUGUGUUAGACGUUGGAAAUUUAUUUUCAGUGUCGCAGCGAAAGCGAUAAACACACCGCCUGGGGAGUACGACCGCAAGGUUAAAACUCAAAUGAAUUGACGGGGACCCGCACAAGUAGUGGAGCAUGUGGUUUAAUUCGAAGAUACGCGCAGAACCUUACCAACACUUGACAUGUUCGUCGCGACUUUAAGAGAUUAAAGUUUUCGGUUCGGCCGGACGAAACACAGGUGCUGCAUGGCUGUCGUCAGCUCGUGUCGUGAGAUGUUGGGUUAAGUCCCGCAACGAGCGCAACCCUCACUUUUAGUUGCCAUCAUUAAGUUGGGCACUCUGAAAGAACUGCCAGUGAUAAGCUGGAGGAAGGUGGGGAUGACGUCAAGUCCUCAUGGCCCUUACGUGUUGGGCUACACACGUGCUACAAUGGUAUCUACAACAGGAAGCAAAACUGCGAAGUUAAGCAAAUCCUUAAAAGAUACCUCAGUUCGGAUUGCACUCUGCAACUCGAGUGCAUGAAGCUGGAAUUACUAGUAAUCGUGGAUCAGCGUGCCACGGUGAAUGCGUUCCCGGGUCUUGUACACACCGCCCGUCACACCAUGGGAGUUGGUUCUACCUUAAGGCAAGGUUUCAAACCCUUGACCACGGUAUAGUCAGCGACUGGGGUGAAGUCGUAACAAGGUAGCCGUAGGGGAACCUGCGGCUG